Molecule: ribosomal RNA, 323 nt
Filed under: uncultured eukaryote
Lineage: Eukaryota
Description: partial 18S ribosomal RNA
Rfam family: Eukaryotic small subunit ribosomal RNA
Source: RNAcentral
CCCUUAGAUGUCCUGGGCCGCACGCGCGCUACACUGAUGCAUUCAACGAGUUUUACCUUGGCCGAGAGGCCUGGGCAAUCUUUUAAACCUGCAUCGUGAUAGGGAUAGAUUAUUGCAAUUAUUAAUCUUGAACGAGGAAUUCCUAGUAAACGCAAAUCAUCAAUUUGCAUUGAUUACGUCCCUGCCCUUUGUACACACCGCCCGUCGCACCUACCGAUUGAAUGUUUCGGUGAAGAUUCCGGAUAGGACUUUUUUGAUUUAUUUCAAUUUUGUCUUAAAAGCUAUCUAAACCUCAACAUUUAGAGGAAGGUGAAGUCGUAACA